AUGCAUGUCUAAGUUCAUGCCGUAUUAAGGCGAAACCGCGAAUGGCUCAUUAAAUCAGUUAUGGUUCCUUGGAUCGUACUUUUCUACUUGGAUAACUGUGGCAAUUCUAGAGCUAAUACAUGCAGCAGAGCUCCGACCUUCGGGGACGAGCGCUUUUAUUAGACCAAAACCGAUCGGGACUCUGUCCCGUGAACGUGGUGACUCUGUAUAACUUUGGGCUGAUCGCAGGGCUUUAGGCCAGCGACGUAUCUUUCAAGUGUCUGCCUUAUCAACUGUCGAUGGUAGGUUAUGCGCCUACCAUGGUCGUAACGGGUAACGGGGGAUCAGGGUUCGAUUCCGGAGAGGGAGCCUGAGAAACGGCUACCACA
This 368-nucleotide ribosomal RNA is filed under the name Tetragnatha sp. RNAcentral's name for it is "SSU rRNA". It matches the Rfam family "Eukaryotic small subunit ribosomal RNA", at positions 51 to 414 of the family's 1831-position model. Lineage: Eukaryota; Metazoa; Arthropoda; Arachnida; Araneae; Tetragnathidae. The record is from RNAcentral.